AUACGUAGGUGGCAAGCGUUGUCCGGAAUUAUUGGGCGUAAAGCGCGCGCAGGUGGUUCCUUAAGUCUGAUGUGAAAGCCCCCGGCUCAACCGGGGAGGGUCAUUGGAAACUGGGGAACUUGAGUGCAGAAGAGGAUAGUGGAAUUCCAAGUGUAGCGGUGAAAUGCGUAGAGAUUUGGAGGAACACCAGUGGCGAAGGCGACUGUCUGGUCUGUAACUGACACUGAGGCGCGAAAGCGUGGGGAGCAAACAGGAUUAGAUACCCUGGUAGUCCACGCCGUAAACGAUGAGUGCUAAGUGUUGGGGGGUUCCCGCCCCUCAGUGCUGCAGCUAACGCAUUAAGCACUCCGCCUGGGGAGUACGGUCGCAAGACUGAAACUCAAAUGAAUUGACGGGG
Molecule: ribosomal RNA, 397 nt
Filed under: uncultured bacterium
Lineage: Bacteria
Description: partial 16S ribosomal RNA
Rfam family: Bacterial small subunit ribosomal RNA
Source: RNAcentral